AGGCCUACCAUGGUUUUUACGGGUAACGGGGAAUUAGGGUUCGAUUCCGGAGAGGGAGCCUGAGAAACGGCUACCACAUCCAAGGAAGGCAGUAGGCGCGCAAAUUACCCAAUCCCGACACGGGGAGGUAGUGACAAUAAAUAACAAUACGGGGUUCUUUCGGAUCUCGUAAUUGGAAUGAGUACAAUUUAAAUCUCUUAACGAGGAACAAUUGGAGGGCAAGUCUGGUGCCAGCAGCCGCGGUAAUUCCAGCUCCAAUAGCGUAUAUUAAAGUUGUUGCAGUUAAAAAGCNNNUAGUUGAAUUUCGGGGUUAGUAGGUUGGUCAUGCCUCUGGUAUGUACUGGUCUCACUGAUUCCUCCUUCCUUAUGAACCGUAAUGCCAUUAAUUUGGUGUUGCGGGGAAUUUGGACUGUUACUUUGAAAAAAUUAGAGUGUUUAAAGCAGGCUAACGCUUGAAUACAUUAGCAUGGAAUAAUGAAAUAGGACGUUCGAUCUUAUUUUGUUGGUUUCUAGGAUUGACGUAAUGAUUAAUAGGGAUAGUUGGGGGCAUUAGUAUUCAAUUGUCAGAGGUGAAAUUCUUGGAUUUAUUGAAGACUAACUACUGCGAAAGCAUUUGCCAAGGAUGUUUUCAAUAAUCAAGAACGAAAGUUAGGGGAUCGAAGACGAUCAGAUACCGUCGUAGUCUUAACCAUAAACUAUGCCGACUAGG
This 709-nucleotide ribosomal RNA is filed under the name uncultured fungus. RNAcentral's name for it is "SSU rRNA". It matches the Rfam family "Eukaryotic small subunit ribosomal RNA", at positions 337 to 1050 of the family's 1831-position model. Lineage: Eukaryota; Fungi. The record is from RNAcentral.